This 360-nucleotide long non-coding RNA is filed under the name Gossypium barbadense (sea-island cotton). RNAcentral's name for it is "long non-coding RNA (GBAR_LNC010333)". The record is from RNAcentral. Lineage: Eukaryota; Viridiplantae; Streptophyta; Magnoliopsida; Malvales; Malvaceae.
GUGAUUUGAGAAAAGUCCAUGACUAAGGUACCUCGUGUUAGGUUGACAAAUUAAUACAUUCAGUACGUUAAGUGGGCCAGGUACGCAUUAUGUACUCAUAUGUGAGUUUGAUCUGCAAUGAAUCAUAAGCGUGCAUUGUGAUACAUACGUGAAUAAAUGUUAUAACUAUAUCUAUGAUCAUGAUACAUCGGGUCAGGAUGUGAAAGUAUGUGAAAGUUUUCGAUUUAAUUAUGUUAUACGAAUUCAGAUUAAGUGUGAUAAGAAUGCUGAACGUGCAUUAUGUGUUUGUGUAUUCGGCCAGAUGGCAAUAUACCUAGAAUAUGGCCACUUAAGAAAUUGAAUAAUCGAAGUAUAAUUGCG